UCAGCCAUAUCCUGUCCAUUUGUCUGGAUCAGUUGCCGGGGAGUACCAACACUGCAUGAUCCAGCUACCCCUACCUCGAUCAUCCAGAACAGCAUCAACAGCACCAAGGACCUCUUCGACAUCGACCCCAUCAACCUCCAGAACACUGUCGACCCCAACGACCCCAUUGACCUCAACAUUCAGAAAUAUGGAUGUCGAAGUUGUACCACCACAAGCUAGACAAGAUUUUGAUUCCGACUAACCCGUUCUUUAAAGGUCCAUUGCCUUAGGAAAUUAAAACUUUUAUGUCUUGUAUCAAGACCCUUUUAAAGCAA
Long non-coding RNA from Strongylocentrotus purpuratus (purple sea urchin), 314 nucleotides. RefSeq lists it as uncharacterized. The record is from RefSeq and is a predicted model, not a curated record. The transcript has 3 exons. NCBI's taxonomy places the organism in Eukaryota, Metazoa, Echinodermata, Echinoidea, Camarodonta, Strongylocentrotidae.